This 74-nucleotide transfer RNA is filed under the name Pseudooceanicola albus. RNAcentral describes it as "tRNA-Cys". Lineage: Bacteria; Pseudomonadati; Pseudomonadota; Alphaproteobacteria; Rhodobacterales; Paracoccaceae. RNAcentral also lists the same sequence under 1 other name. The record is from RNAcentral.
GGCGUUGAUUUCGCGUGAAAGAGAGACGGAUUGCAAAUCCGUGCACACCGGUUCGAUUCCGGUACUCGCCUCCA